UACGUAGGUGGCAAGCGUUGUCCGGAUUUACUGGGCGUAAAGAGCGCGCAGGCGGUCGUUCAAGUCGCGUGUGAAAGCCCCCGGCUCAACUGGGGAGGGUCACGCGAUACCGGUCGACUCGAAGGCAGGAGAGGGUAGUGGAAUUCCCGGUGUAGUGGUGAAAUGCGUAGAUAUCGGGAGGAACACCAGUGGCGAAGGCGACUACCUGGCCUGUUUCUUGACGCUGAGGCGCGAAAGCUAGGGGAGCAAACGGG
Molecule: ribosomal RNA, 254 nt
Filed under: uncultured bacterium
Lineage: Bacteria
Description: partial 16S ribosomal RNA
Rfam family: Bacterial small subunit ribosomal RNA
Source: RNAcentral